Molecule: long non-coding RNA, 6765 nt
Filed under: Eucalyptus grandis
Lineage: Eukaryota; Viridiplantae; Streptophyta; Magnoliopsida; Myrtales; Myrtaceae
Description: long non-coding RNA (EGRA_LNC005240)
Source: RNAcentral
AAGCUGAUAUGGAAGAAGAUUGACCCGACAGAUCUGAAACCUGGCGACCACAUCUACGCUUAUAAGCGAUACGGCUCUUAUAGUCACCAUGGUCAGUCUUCUUCAACCUCUCUAAUGCUCGCUGCUGAUAUCUCUUCUACCCUGUUCUUUCUCAAUUGGGUUCUUGUCUGCUCCUUUAAUCGGGUGAAGUUUUCUCUUCCGACUGAUAAAAAUCGAACUUCUAGCUUCAUUUCCUGCCUUCCCUGGCCCAAAAGCAGGGCCACGAGGUGGAAUUUGUCAAAUAAUAAACCCAAAGAAAGUGGAGGAUGAUGAUGCCAGUUGAGAUCUAUGAUUAGCAUUUGAAGCUAGAUACGGAAAAUUCAUGCCUUUUCUGAGUCAGAUGGGUACCUUUUGGUUUCUAGAUUCCUUUCCUACGUUCUGUUAAACUACUGCAAUUAUCCGCGUAAUUACUUUGGGGUUGUCACUUUUUGUGUUCUUUUCUUGUUUUGCUCGUAUUGUCCUUUUCUGACCAAGAAAAAGAAGGUUGACUGUAUAUAAGUUAUUCGAAGGCCUAUGGUGCAAAGGCCCGCUUUAUCUUGAUUUGCUAGGAAACCUAACCCAGAUCCUACUGCUAUUGGUGGUUUAAUUCUGUCUUUUGGGCAAAUUUGUGGCUUUAUGAAGUUUUUCACAAUUCACUAAGUUGUAUCUAAACAUGCCAGGAAUAUGCGUGGAAGAUGGCUAUGUGAUUUACUUCACCAGGACAGAGAGCAAGGAGGCCAUCCUCCCAUAUUCUAGAGUUGAAGCCGAAACUGUGCCCGCCUGUCCAGAAUGUGAUUACCGGGAAAACACUGUCUGCGGGGUCAUCAGGACGUGCCUCGAUUGCUUCCGUCGAGGCCACAAGACGCUUCAUUCCAUUCAUUACUUCGUGUAUGGUGCCGCAAUUGGGCUUUCUCCUGAAAAAUUCUGGAACUUGCAGCACCCUUUCCUGUACCAAAUCCCCACAAGAAGUUGUUGAAGCUGCUUAUGAGCUUCUCAAGAGCAAUGACUUUGGUAAGUACGAUCUUGCUGGAAAUAACUGCAAACAUUUCGCAACUUACUGUUUCAAGUUCACUUGCAAAAACCAUUUCUACCGUAAAUUCAUAAUCUUUUUUCCAAAUCACAAAUAACAUGUGCUAAAUCAAUAGUUUCAUGCCGCAAACAAAGAAUAAAAAAUGAUUAACGCAAUACUUUUACAAGUAAAAUAACAUCCCAUCCAUUUUUUUGAAAAAGCAAAUAUCUUUUACAUAGUAUGACUUCAAAAUUACCUCCGAUUCAGCCAUCGAAUAACCUUACACGUGCGGAUUAAUUGACUAACACGAGCAAACCUUUGUUCGUUGGACUUCUUGCUAAAUUGAAGAGAGAUUGAACUUUGAAAUUCAGUGUCAUCCUAAACAAACCAAACCUCCAAAAAAUCACAACACCGAACACUCAAGGGAAAAACUACCAACUCAAUAGCCAAACUCACGCAAUUACCCACCAAUAAUUAAAAAAAAAAAAAACUCCACAAAAUAGGAGAAACAACAAAAGAAGAAGAAUUUUUUUUUAAAAAUUUAGGGAGCUUUUUGAGAUCUUCAUGAUCCAUCAUAACAUGUUAAUCAUGGUAAACAAAGUUUUGAGAAGGUCAUUCCAAAUGAAGAUAUUAUAACAAAAGAAAAACAAAGAAUUUAAUUGUCGACCUAUAAAUACAUGUCAACCCAAUGAGAUUCUAGUAACUUAAAAUUUGGACAGAUUAGAAAACCUCCCCCUAUUAAGCGCAAUUAAAAAUUUCAUAUCUAAAAAAAUUCUUGCAGUCUACCCGUUUAAUCUAGGAGGAAAUGAUUAUGUGGUAUAAAUAUAAUCACAAACAAUAGAAUGUUUUUUACUUCGCUAUAGACAUUUCCAAUUUUCUAAGAUUAAACAAAAAUUUCACAACACAUUCUAAGUAAUCAAUUGGUGCUAAAGAGGCACACAACAAGCUUACUUUGGACUUCUUUGAUACCUAACAAUGCACAAGAUGCACUAAAUGAUACAACAUGGAACCAACGUUAUCAUUCAAGAAAAAAGAACAGCAAAUAAAGCAAAUUAGUUUGGGAGUCAUUAUGGCAUAAGAAAGUAAACAAAAAUGAAAGCACAUAACCCGAAUGUCAGUUGCAAUGAGCUUAAAAUGGAAUUGCUCAACCUCUGCAAUAUUCCAACAACUAAUUACAAGCCUAUCUUAAUCUACAUUGCAAACCAAACAACAUUAAAAUACAUAGACACCCAAAAUAUGAAACUUUAAUGAAACAAUACUAUAAAAGCAUCUGAAUCAAGGGAACAAGAUAAAAUAUAAGAAACAAAUAUUAAUAUUCAAACAUAUUGUUCUCUUAACUAACAUAUAGUCAAGUUGUCCAACAACAUCAAGAUCUGUAAAAGCUGAAAAUCGUUCACAACGGUGGCCGCAAUGUCGUCACUACUCACUUUGAGUUCUUCAACACCUUAUAGCAGCAUGGAAACAUAUCAUGUGAUCAUUUUCAUUUUUGUCCAAUAAAUGGACGAUAAUAAGCAGUUCGAAGAAUAUGAUCCGUUUCUUUCCUUUCCAUUGAUCACUUGUUUUGGUUGUAUUUUAGUUAGCUGAGAAACACCAUAGGCAUUCUAAGGAAAGCCCAAUCUUUCUUUAUUCAACAUUAAAUGGUUGUUUAUAUAAGAAUGUUGAGAUGCAACUGCAAGCCCGAGCUUCUUUUUUUUUUUUUUUUUUUUUUUUGCAAUUCUUCUUGAUAUUAGACUUUUUUUUUCAUCUAUUUUUCUGUUUGCACCACCCAAGAUGUGAAAGUGUCAUGACACAUAGUGAUGUACAAGGUUUUUCCCUAGCUAUCUAACAUGUCUUGGCUCUUUGAGGUGCAGAUGUGAUCAAGUUAAAAAUGCAUUGCAAUACACGAUAGAAAAUGUUGCAAGUUUUUUUUUUUUUUUUUAAAUGAACCACACGCACAAUUGUGUAAACUCGCCUACCUGCCUUGUAGCUUGGAGGCGACUGGUGGGCUUUCGGGUGUCUACACUUGCUAAAGAAGGCAAGGUGAAGAUGAUUACAGCUUGGGACCUAGCCAAGACUCGCGGGGCUCUUGGGAGAAAGUGGUAAUGGCAGAGGCGGCCAAGCUCGGAUGUGCCUGGUGAGCUUUUGGGUGUCCUCGAUCACCGAGGAGGCACAAGCAGAGAAGGUCAGAGCUUGGGACGCAGCCACGACUAAUGGGGCUCUUCGGAGCAAGUAGCUUCUAGCGAUGACAGCGGAGGCGAUCAAGCUUGGAGGCAAGCAAUGGGCUUUUGGGUGUCCACGCUCGCUGAAGAGGCCAAGGCGGAGAUGGUUGGGAGCCAACCAUGACCGGCGAGGUUCUUGGGAGCGAGUGGCUCUUGACGGCAACGGCAAAGGUGGCCAAGAUUGGAGGAGACCGGCAUAGGUGGCCAAGCUCGAAGGCGAUCGGCUAGAUUUUGAGCGUACGUGAUCAUCAAAGAGGCUGAGGUAGAAAUGGUCAAAGCUCAAGACCCAACCACAACCGGCGAGGCUCUUCGGAGUGAGUGGCUCCUGGCAACGAUGGCGGAGGCGGCCGAGCUCAGAGGCGACCGACAGGAUUUUGGGUGUCUGCGCUCACCAAAGAGGCCGAGGGGAAGAUGGUUAGAGUUUGGGACCUAGCCAUGACCAUAAGGGUUCUUGGGAGCGAGUGGCUCCCGACAGCAACGGUAAAGGCAGCCAAAUUUGGAGGCGACUGGCAAAUGUGAUCGAGCUUGGAGGUGACUAGUUGGCUUUUGGUCUACGCGAUCGUUGAAGAGGUCGAGGCGAAAACGGUCAGAGCUCGGGAUCCAACCAUGACCGGCGAGGUUCUUUGGAGUGAGUGUCUCCUGGCGGCGAUGGCGGAGUUGGUCGAGUUCUGAGGCAACCGGUGGGCUUUUAGGUGUCCGCGCUUGUCGAAGAGGUCGAGGCAGAGAUGGCCAGAGUUCGGGACCCAGUCACGAUUGGCAGGGUUCUUGGGAGCAAGUGGCUCUUGACGGCAACGGUAGAGGUGGCCAAGCUUGGAGGCAACCGGCGAGCGAGAGAGAUGGCGUUGCAGCUUUCAAGGAGAAAAAUGCAGAGACAAAUUUUUUUGAAAGAGAAUGGGAGGGGAAGGGACGCACACUUGCGUGGAAACGGGAGAAAUGGUGUAGAGAAAAGGAUGAAGCAUUAAAUGAGAGAGAGAAGUAGCAAAAAAUUAACUAAAAAAUAAUGGUGGGCCCCGACUCCAGGUGGAGCCACGUGGCGACACGUGUCGCAUCCUGAUUGGGUGAGCGCACAAUGAUGUGGAGUGCCCGGCCAACCAAUAUUUUCUCGGAGCAUGACCUAUGCGAAAAUUCAAAUUGACAUUACAACGUAUAUAAUAUGGUUAUAUCAAUUCAUUUGGGAAAAAGUACCAGAAAAAACUUGAAACUUAUUACAUUAAUAUCAAUUCAGUCAUAACCUUUUAAAUGAACUAAUUUAUUCUAUGCAUUUUUACAUUGGUACAAAUUGAGUCCAUCUCACCAAUUUGAGUUGAAAAUUACUAACAUGGACCCUGAUCAUAUUACUUAACAGAGCUAAUGCUUGCAUAGAUAAUUUUUAUUUUAUUUAUAAAAUUUUUACCUUUUUUUUUUUUCUUGUUUUCAUUUUUAUUAGUAUGUGGCCGCUACUUGGCACGGCUGACAACCAAGGUGAGGGCGUCACAACCCUUGUGGCCUCUAGCAAGGGCUACCAUGGUCUAGGCUGCAAGGUCAAGCCCUUGCUAAAUCUGACAAGGGCUACAACGCCCUAAUCGGCCCUCGCUUAUGGCUAGUCAUCGGUCAUGGUCAAGUACCUGCCACAAGCCAAAGGGAAGAGAAGAAAAGGGUAAUUAAUAAAAAUAUUCAAAAAAUAUUUUAAAUAUUUUUAAAAAAUAUCCAAUUAACAUCAGUUAUGCCAUGUAAGAUACUAAACGUCAACAUCAGUAAUUUUCAACUUAAAUUGAUCGGAUGGAUUGAAUUAGUACUAAUAUGAAAACGUUUCGAGUUAAAUUAGCCAAAAUCGAAAUGUUUGGGACUGAAUAAAUAUCAAUAUAAUAGGUCGAAUGCCUUUUUUCUUUGUACUUUUAUCAAAUAAAAGAGUCAUUGAUUGAUAUCAAUAGAAUUUCUGCCAACAACAUUUAAAAAAAUCUGUAGAAGGUGAUGCAGUUGGACUAUAUGCUCUCCGGCGGAAUCAUGAGUAGGUGCCUCCCUAAAAUUCCUUUCUUCUCUCUGUCUCUCUCUGUCUGGGUGAAUGAAGAUAAACUCUUUCGUUCAUCCCCCCACCCAACUAGGUCCUACAAUAUCCAUCAUAUCUCGAUCCAAGAAGUGAUUCUUUGACCAGAUCCAGAUUGAACAUUCAUGAGAAAAUGACUCGGGACAGGCUCAAAGAAGAUAGUAGAGAUGGAGUUGGGGAGUUUGCAUGACGCAUUUUGGCAGUGUCAAAUGAGUGAACAAAGUGUUAGAUGCUUGUUUUGUGAUGAAGAUUUGAUGAAAUAAGGUAGAAAUGCUCCAUCUUAGCAUAUUCUUUGGCUACAGACCGUAUAUAUAUUUUGUCAUUUCCCUUUGUCUCGUAGGGUAUGGUCAAAGGGUGUUGUCGGAAUAUCCACACCAAUCAUCAAUAAUUCCAAGACUGACUUUUCCUCACAGUUGCAAAGGUUGUGUGUUGGUGUCCAGCGUUUCAAAGCCCCACGGGAAUAUCGACGAGGAUUGUAUCCGACAUCUACAAGACCAUUGCUAAUUGACAUCAAGUCCUAAUUCAAAUUGGGAAAGAAAGAGUUAAUUCUGGAAAUAGGGAAAGGAGAUUCUACUCUAUAUAUCACAAUUUAAUUUUAUCUUCCAAACCAAUCUAAAUGAGUGAAAUAUGCAUUUUGAAAAAUUUUAAGAAAAUAAAUCAACCAUGUGUAUACAUGUCACUUGUGCCAAAGAUUUACGUAGAUUGGAGAUCAAAUAAAGAUUUCAAGUGAGAAGUCUCAAUACCAAAUAAAGCAAAUGGGUAUGAUUUAGUAGCAAAUCAUACGAGAAGGAAAUAGGGACAAGAGCCCUUUAGGAAUUACGGCUCAUUAUAUCGGCAAGUCUUGUACCAAUUUUGCAAAUCAUUACUGUUUAAAACGAAUUAGCAUGCAUCUUCCUAAGCAGAUGGGAUGGAAAGGACAUGGAAAGAGACUUGGCAACUCAUGUUUCAACCUCAUGAAGACAUCUCCAUCGUUAAUCUGGGAGGGGUGUUUGACCAGUGCGGUGCGUGGAGAGGAAAAAUCCGACUUGCUCAUUGACCGGGCCAAUUUCGUCUCAUCUAGACAGUGCAGAAAAACAAUCACGAAACUUGAUAAACAAGCAUUCAUUAUGUCGUCCGAUUUUCUAUGUAAGUGCCGGCUUCGCAGUGCCGUCUCCAUCAGCAAAUGAGUGUGCAGAGUUCAAGUCUUUGAGAGUCAAGAGAGAGCCCAAAAGAACCCGAGGUGAAAAGAAGAAAAUGAUGAACAAGAUCAAGAAGGAAUUUGAAGAUGGAAUGAAGCUGAUAUGGAAGAAGGUCGACCCGAAAGAUCUGAAACCUGGCGACCACAUCUACGCUUAUAGGCUAUACGGCUCCUAUAGUCACCAUGGUCAGUCUUCUUUAACCUCUCUGAUGCUCGCUGCUGAUAUCUCUUCUACUCUGUUCUUUCUCAAUCGGGUUCUUGUCUACUGCUUUAAACGGGUGAAGUUUUCUCUUCCAACUGAUAAAAAUCGAACUUCUAGCUUCGAUUCCUGUCUUUGCUG